CCUACGGGUGGCUGCAGUGAGGAAUAUUGGUCAAUGGGCGAAAGCCUGAACCAGCCAAGUAGCGUGAGGGAUGACGGUCCUAUGGAUUGUAAACCUCUUUUGUCGGGGAGCAAGGCCUGCCACGUGUGGCGGGAAGGAGAGUACCCGAAGAAAAAGCAUCGGCUAACUCCGUGCCAGCAGCCGCGGUAAUACGGGGGAUGCGAGCGUUAUCCGGAUUUAUUGGGUUAAAAGGGUGCGUAGGCGGACGGUUAAGUCAGCGGUCAAAUGUCGGUCCUAAACACCAGACUGCCGUUGAAACUGGUCUUCUUGAGUGAACUAGAAGUAUGCGGAAGUCGUGGUGUAGCGGUGAAAUGCAUAGAUAUCACGCAGAACUCCGAUUGCGAAGGCAGCACACCGGCGCUCAACUGACGCUGAGGCACGAAAGCGUGGGGAUCGAACAGGAUUAGAUACCCCAGUAGUC
Molecule: ribosomal RNA, 460 nt
Filed under: uncultured bacterium
Lineage: Bacteria
Description: partial 16S ribosomal RNA
Rfam family: Bacterial small subunit ribosomal RNA
Source: RNAcentral